RNAcentral lists this long non-coding RNA (353 nucleotides) under Homo sapiens (human). RNAcentral describes it as "HSALNT0178287". Lineage: Eukaryota; Metazoa; Chordata; Mammalia; Primates; Hominidae. The record is from RNAcentral.
GUGUGUGAUGCCCGCAAUCUGGUGGCUGGAGCAGCCGAUAAAGAAGAGCGGCAGGCUGAAGAAGAGGCACAGCAGCAUCCCCAGCAGGCAAAGGGCACCGCAUCCCACAGGGCCCAGGUGGAGCCGCUUGACCAGGACGCCACCCACCACGAUGCCCACGAUGACCGAAGGGAAGGAGAGGCAGCCGAUGAGCAGGUUGGCGUAGGAGGCUGUGAUGGAAAACUGGCGCUCCAGGAACUUGGGCAGGAAGGUGGCCAUGCCCGCAGCCAUGGAUGACAAGCAUACCUGGGACAGGACCACCAGCAGGAAGAUGGGGUGGCGUAGGGUCUGCAGCAGCACCCUGGGGAAGACUG